Molecule: ribosomal RNA, 420 nt
Filed under: bacterium
Lineage: Bacteria
Description: partial 16S ribosomal RNA
Rfam family: Bacterial small subunit ribosomal RNA
Source: RNAcentral
UGGGGGAUAUUGCACAAUGGGCGAAAGCCUGAUGCAGCGACGCCGCGUGGGGGAUGAAGGCUUUCGGGUUGUAAACCUCUUUCGCUAUCGAACAAGGCCCGCUUAGGGUGGGUUGAGGGUAGGUGGAGAAGAAGCGCCGGCUAACUACGUGCCAGCAGCCGCGGUAAUACGUAGGGCGCGAGCGUUGUCCGGAAUUAUUGGGCGUAAAGGGCUUGUAGGCGGCUUGUUGCGCCUGCUGUGAAAACGCGGGGCUUAACUUCGCGCGUGGAGUUGGUACGGGCAGGCUUGAGUGUGGUAGGGGUGACUGGAAUUCCAGGUGUAGAGGUGGAAUGCGCAGAUAUCUGGAGGAACACCGAUGGCGAAGGCAGGUCACUGGGCCAUUACUGACGCUGAGGAGCGAAAGCAUGGGUAGCGAACAGG